Erinaceus europaeus (western European hedgehog) is the source of this 799-nucleotide long non-coding RNA. RefSeq lists it as uncharacterized. The transcript is spliced from 3 exons. Lineage: Eukaryota; Metazoa; Chordata; Mammalia; Eulipotyphla; Erinaceidae. The record is from RefSeq and is a predicted model, not a curated record.
UGUCCACACACACUGAUGGGGAGGGGGGGGGGGGGACACGGACCAGGUAAAGCGCACACAUCACAGUGCACAAGGAACUAGUCCCACAAAAAAACAAAGCGGAAAUCACCUCAUUGGGGGUGGGAGACAGCACAGGGGUUCUGCAAAGAGACCUGCCUGCCUGAGGCCCCGCGGUCCCCGGUUCAAUCCCCAGAACCACUAUGAGCCGGAGCAGAGGAGGGCUCUGGGGAAAAAUGAGGUUAUCACUGGAGCUUGGUGCCUGCACUACUAUGCUCCUGGAGGCUUUUUUUUUGUGGAUAGCAGAGGGAAAUUGAGAGGAGGGAGAAGAGGAAGAGACACCUGCAGACCUGCUUCACCGCUUGUGAAGCGACCCCCGCACAAGCUGUUGCCCUCAGAUGAAGCUACCGCAGCCAGCCAUAAGGAAUGAGCAAACGGUGAGAACUCAACACAGUGCCCACAGCAAGGUUCCUUAGCCCGUGGGCCUCGAUGUCUCGAAGCACUGGCCAUGGAAGGAUCCUCACCAUGCUGCUGCGAAAGUGCUUCAUUCCAGGGCCAGUGCGGACACACAUGACCAUUCCCAAGGACUGGGGUUUGAGCCCUCGCUUCCCACCUGCAGGGGGGAAGCUUCACAAACAAGUGCGGCAAGUCUCUGUCUCUGUAUCUCCCCCUCUGCUUCUGUCCUGUCAAAUGAAAUUGAAAAGAAAUGGCUCUGGGAACAGUGGAUUUAGCCUGUAGGCACUGAGCCCCAGCAAUAGCCCUGGUGGCAAUUGGCAAAAAAAUAAAGUGCUUCAUGUCGUGA